UUCAAACACGAUCGAGAGAGACAGAAUGUUUUUCGUUAUCAAAGUGUAAUGACACAAACUUCACCACAUACGUUGCAGCAAUAAGAUGAAAUCUCUUAAUCACAAUGACAUUUUAUCGAUCGUGACGAAAAUUGAUUUGCACGUGCAACGGAUAGCUUAAGUCAAGUCGUUUGCACUCAUGGCAGAGUGGUCGUGGUCAUCAGUUCGGGUGGUGGUGCGCUUCACAAGACGUCGCCAUUGCUCGCGUGCUGUGGCCUCUCUUGUGAACUCGUUGACGGGACUGUUUGGAGCUUUUUUUUUCGACUUACCAACUUGGAUAAUAUGAUAAUGAAUACUGUGUUUUUAUAAAUAAAUAACCAGAAGCUUUGCAAUGCAAGAAAUAUAAUGUUUUUGUUCGUAAUA
Long non-coding RNA from Bombyx mori (domestic silkworm), 402 nucleotides. RefSeq lists it as uncharacterized. The record is from RefSeq and is a predicted model, not a curated record. Lineage: Eukaryota; Metazoa; Arthropoda; Insecta; Lepidoptera; Bombycidae. The transcript is spliced from 2 exons.